Molecule: small RNA, 131 nt
Filed under: Sinorhizobium meliloti 2011
Lineage: Bacteria; Pseudomonadati; Pseudomonadota; Alphaproteobacteria; Hyphomicrobiales; Rhizobiaceae
Description: putative ncRNA
Source: RNAcentral
UUUCAGCACCGUCUCGUCGGUCAUGCGCAGCGACAGGCGUUGAUCGUCGGCGACGCGGACGGCGCCGCGAACGGGGAGGAUAGACGGGAGGUCGACCGGUCCGUCGGCGCUCGCCAGACGGCGGACCAGGC